This 1550-nucleotide ribosomal RNA is filed under the name Klebsiella pneumoniae. Its description in RNAcentral is "bacterial SSU rRNA". It matches the Rfam family "Bacterial small subunit ribosomal RNA". Lineage: Bacteria; Pseudomonadati; Pseudomonadota; Gammaproteobacteria; Enterobacterales; Enterobacteriaceae. The record is from RNAcentral. RNAcentral also lists the same sequence under 1 other name.
AAAUUGAAGAGUUUGAUCAUGGCUCAGAUUGAACGCUGGCGGCAGGCCUAACACAUGCAAGUCGAGCGGUAGCACAGAGAGCUUGCUCUCGGGUGACGAGCGGCGGACGGGUGAGUAAUGUCUGGGAAACUGCCUGAUGGAGGGGGAUAACUACUGGAAACGGUAGCUAAUACCGCAUAAUGUCGCAAGACCAAAGUGGGGGACCUUCGGGCCUCAUGCCAUCAGAUGUGCCCAGAUGGGAUUAGCUAGUAGGUGGGGUAACGGCUCACCUAGGCGACGAUCCCUAGCUGGUCUGAGAGGAUGACCAGCCACACUGGAACUGAGACACGGUCCAGACUCCUACGGGAGGCAGCAGUGGGGAAUAUUGCACAAUGGGCGCAAGCCUGAUGCAGCCAUGCCGCGUGUGUGAAGAAGGCCUUCGGGUUGUAAAGCACUUUCAGCGGGGAGGAAGGCGGUGAGAUUAAUAACCUCAUCGAUUGACGUUACCCGCAGAAGAAGCACCGGCUAACUCCGUGCCAGCAGCCGCGGUAAUACGGAGGGUGCAAGCGUUAAUCGGAAUUACUGGGCGUAAAGCGCACGCAGGCGGUCUGUCAAGUCGGAUGUGAAAUCCCCGGGCUCAACCUGGGAACUGCAUUCGAAACUGGCAGGCUAGAGUCUUGUAGAGGGGGGUAGAAUUCCAGGUGUAGCGGUGAAAUGCGUAGAGAUCUGGAGGAAUACCGGUGGCGAAGGCGGCCCCCUGGACAAAGACUGACGCUCAGGUGCGAAAGCGUGGGGAGCAAACAGGAUUAGAUACCCUGGUAGUCCACGCCGUAAACGAUGUCGAUUUGGAGGUUGUGCCCUUGAGGCGUGGCUUCCGGAGCUAACGCGUUAAAUCGACCGCCUGGGGAGUACGGCCGCAAGGUUAAAACUCAAAUGAAUUGACGGGGGCCCGCACAAGCGGUGGAGCAUGUGGUUUAAUUCGAUGCAACGCGAAGAACCUUACCUGGUCUUGACAUCCACAGAACUUUCCAGAGAUGGAUUGGUGCCUUCGGGAACUGUGAGACAGGUGCUGCAUGGCUGUCGUCAGCUCGUGUUGUGAAAUGUUGGGUUAAGUCCCGCAACGAGCGCAACCCUUAUCCUUUGUUGCCAGCGGUCCGGCCGGGAACUCAAAGGAGACUGCCAGUGAUAAACUGGAGGAAGGUGGGGAUGACGUCAAGUCAUCAUGGCCCUUACGACCAGGGCUACACACGUGCUACAAUGGCAUAUACAAAGAGAAGCGACCUCGCGAGAGCAAGCGGACCUCAUAAAGUAUGUCGUAGUCCGGAUUGGAGUCUGCAACUCGACUCCAUGAAGUCGGAAUCGCUAGUAAUCGUAGAUCAGAAUGCUACGGUGAAUACGUUCCCGGGCCUUGUACACACCGCCCGUCACACCAUGGGAGUGGGUUGCAAAAGAAGUAGGUAGCUUAACCUUCGGGAGGGCGCUUACCACUUUGUGAUUCAUGACUGGGGUGAAGUCGUAACAAGGUAACCGUAGGGGAACCUGCGGUUGGAUCACCUCCUUACCUUAAAGAA